CAAAUAACCUUUGGAAAUGUGGGCAGAACUCCUGUGAUAAUAUAAAAUGAAAAGAGGAUGAGUUUUUCUUUUCACUUGUUUAUGUUGCACAUAUUACAUAUUUUCAUUCCUGGCCAAAACAAAAUAAACUGUUCCAUUAAUAUUGAACAAGUACAUAUUCAUCGGCAUGCAGUUUUAGCACUACAAUUUUAGACAACAAUAACUGGUUGCAGCAUAAACUAAUGUUUGUUUUACAAAAGUUUGUCAAAAUUACUUAUUUUUUGGUAUACAAGGUGGUCUGAUAUGUUGUGAGAUCUAUAAUAUUUCCUUCGAAGAUACAUAAAUUUUUGGAGGGUCACACAUACAACAUCUGCAUGACCGAGCAGGGGGGAUGCAUAUAUAGACAUGUGAUACUAUAUAACUGUGUCCAUCUUUCUCACAUACAAGAUCCUCAUCACAUGGGUCAAAAGAAUAUUCAGUAGCAUCUGGAAGCCAUGUAAUAUACAACAAGGAGUCAUCAAACCAAUUUAAUAGAUGACAUUUUGAUAAGAUUGCAGUCCGGCUAAAUGUUAAAUAAGCGGGAUGAACAACUUUGCAGGCCAAAUAAGUAUUAUUAUGCCCUUCGAUCUACACUAUAAUCUACCAGAUUAAUAAGAAGAGUAGAAACAGAAAAAAAAGAAAUCAUCAUUAUAUUAACGAAAUAAGGAACCCUGAAGAAAAUCAACAAUAAUACCUGCAAAUCUUAGCAGCCUAUGUUUCUCUUGAAUGCUCAGAAGCAACCAUACAGAUUGCAGUAAUUAUACUGGAGAAAAGAAGAAUGACAUUAAUACAAGUGGUUUGGAGUUUAAUAUGCAUGGAAACCAUCUGAAGAUUCUCACUUUAUUAAUCUACCAAUGAGUUAAACAAACAUUCAGAAAAUUAAUCAUUAAUGUGCAAUUUAAAGAAGAAGAUGCUUUAAACUGUUACUCCACACCAAAUGAUUUUGAAGACCAGGAAGUAAUGUAGAGUAGUUUUAGAAAACAUUAAAGAAAGAACACCAUGACCCAUUAUUAGUCUUAAAACUCGGAAUCAAAUCAUUGAUUACAUUAACCAACAAAACAGCAAAAGAAGCUUUGAUAACAACACAAGCUAAAAUAUAGACAAAAGUCUCCUCUGAUCCCCAACUCAAACUCCACUAACAGUUACCAAAACAUGAAACAAAUCAUUACUCCCCUUUAAACCAAACAUCAGUUACUCCUACAAAGUGUACAGAAAUCGAGAACAAAUCAUUAAACCCCACAAACCUAACAUGAUUUACACACAGUAAAGACUGAAAGAGUACAUUAAUCAAGACAGAAGACAGAUAGUGGUAAAGAAGAAGAUGAAGACAGAGAAAUUCCACAAACCAAAACUUUUCUCAAACAGAAAAGAAACAGAUUUUUGAAGACAUUGGGUUUAAUAAUGUUUGAGAAAAAAUGGAAAGUUUUGCAAAACAAGCUAGAUUCUUUACAAAGAGCACAAUUACCUGAACCUUUAUAAUAGCAACUUGUUAAUAUAGUUGUAUAAAUUCAUGAUUAAAAAAAGGAUGUAAUUUUGAGUAAAAACUUAAUUUUUUCUCACAAUAAAGCCAAACAGACCCUACAUAGUUCACCAAAUAGCUUGUAAUUUGAAAUAUUGAUUUCAAGAGUUUUUACAAACAAAAUGAAAACAAGUAACUAGAAAUAGCUCGAAAUGUUUUACAAAAGAAGAAAAAACCUGGCUUCGAUCUAAAACCCUAAUCCUUUAUAAAAUCAACUUACAUUUGAAAGGAAAACCAGUUUAAAAUGCUUAUAAAUUAAACCCAGUAAAAAGGCUUAUUUCAUAAUAAGAACAAACAAUGGAUGCUAUAAGUAGAUAUUUCUUCAUGAAAACUUUGAAGAAAAAAGGUGAUUGAUACCUUGAUCAUGUGCUUGAGAGCUAGAAAUAGAGAAGAUGAUGAAAAUGGAGAGAAAGCUAGCUAGAGAACUUCUCGUCUUCUUGCAGAAAGAAAAGAAAAGGUCUUUGAGUUUGUGAGAAGAGAAGAACUGAAGAAGCAGAGAAA
This 2038-nucleotide long non-coding RNA is filed under the name Aquilegia coerulea. RNAcentral's name for it is "long non-coding RNA (ACOE_LNC001938)". The record is from RNAcentral. Lineage: Eukaryota; Viridiplantae; Streptophyta; Magnoliopsida; Ranunculales; Ranunculaceae.